This 253-nucleotide ribosomal RNA is filed under the name uncultured bacterium. RNAcentral describes it as "partial 16S ribosomal RNA". It matches the Rfam family "Bacterial small subunit ribosomal RNA", at positions 524 to 776 of the family's 1533-position model. The record is from RNAcentral.
UACGUAGGGCGCGAGCGUUGUCCGGAAUCAUUGGGCGUAAAGAGCUCGUAGGCGGCCUGUCGCGUCUGCUGUGAAAUCCCGGGGCUCAACCCCGGGCGUGCAGUGGAUACGGGCUGGCUGGAGGCAGGCAGGGGAGAACGGAAUUCCCGGUGUAGCGGUGAAAUGCGCAGAUAUCGGGAGGAACACCGGUGGCGAAGGCGGCUUCUUGGACCGACACUGACGCUGAGGCGCGAAAGCUAGGGGAGCAAACGGG